GACGAACGCUGGCGGCGUGCUUAACACAUGCAAGUCGAACGGAAAGGCCCUGCUUUUGUGGGGUGCUCGAGUGGCGAACGGGUGAGUAACACGUGAGUAACCUGCCCUUGACUUUGGGAUAACUUCAGGAAACUGGGGCUAAUACCGGAUAGGAGCUCCUGCUGCAUGGUGGGGGCUGGAAAGUUUCGGCGGUUGGGGAUGGACUCGCGGCUUAUCAGCUUGUUGGUGGGGUAGUGGCUUACCAAGGCUUUGACGGGUAGCCGGCCUGAGAGGGUGACCGGCCACAUUGGGACUGAGAUACGGCCCAGACUCCUACGGGAGGCAGCAGUGGGGAAUAUUGCACAAUGGGCGGAAGCCUGAUGCAGCAACGCCGCGUGCGGGAUGACGGCCUUCGGGUUGUAAACCGCUUUCGCCUGUGACGAAGCGUGAGUGACGGUAAUGGGUAAAGAAGCACCGGCUAACUACGU
This 467-nucleotide ribosomal RNA is filed under the name uncultured bacterium. RNAcentral describes it as "partial 16S ribosomal RNA". It matches the Rfam family "Bacterial small subunit ribosomal RNA", at positions 28 to 506 of the family's 1533-position model. The record is from RNAcentral.